CCUACGGGUGGCAGCAGUGGGGAAUAUUGCACAAUGGGGGAAACCCUGAUGCAGCGACGCCGCGUGAGUGAAGAAGUAUCUCGGUACGUAAAGCUCUAUCAGCAGGGAAGAAAAUGACGGUACCUGACUAAGAAGCCCCGGCUAACUACGUGCCAGCAGCCGCGGUAAUACGUAGGGGGCGAGCGUUAUCCGGAUUGACUGGGUGUAAAGGGAGCGUAGAUGGCAGCACAAGUCAGGAGUGAAAUCCCGGGGCUUAACCCCGGAACUGCUUUGGAAACUGUGCGGCUGGAGUGCAUGAGGGGGAAGGAGAAUUCCUAGUGUAGCGGUGAAAUGCGUAGAUAUUUGGAGGAAUACCGGUGGCGAAGGCGGCUUACUGGACUGUAACUGACGUUGAGGCUCGAAAGCGUGGGGAGCAAACAGGAUUAGAUACCCUUGUAGUC
RNAcentral lists this ribosomal RNA (440 nucleotides) under uncultured bacterium. Its description in RNAcentral is "partial 16S ribosomal RNA". It matches the Rfam family "Bacterial small subunit ribosomal RNA", at positions 338 to 795 of the family's 1533-position model. The record is from RNAcentral.